GAUGAACGCUGGCGGCGUGCCUAAAACAUGCAAGUCGUGCGGCAGCGGGCCUUCGGGUGCCGGCGAGCGGCGGACGGGUGAGUAACGCGUAGGAACGUACCCCAAAGUGAGGGAUAAGCUCCGGAAACGGAGUCUAAUACCGCAUAUGCUCUUAGGAGUAAAGGAGUAAUCCGCUUUGGGAGCGGCCUGCGUCCGAUUAGUUUGUUGGUGAGGUAAUGGCUUACCAAGACGAUGAUCGGUAGCUGGUUUGAGAGGAUGAUCAGCCACACUGGGACUGAGACACGGCCCAGACUCCUACGGGAGGCAGCAGUUAGGAAUUUUCCACAAUGGGGGCAACCCUGAUGGAGCAACGCCGCGUGCAGGAAGACGGCCUUCGGGUUGUAAACCGCUUUAAAAGUGAAGAUUAUGACGGUAACUUUAGAAUAAGGAUCGGCUAACUCCGUGCCAGCCGCCGCAGUAA
RNAcentral lists this ribosomal RNA (460 nucleotides) under uncultured bacterium. RNAcentral's name for it is "partial 16S ribosomal RNA". It matches the Rfam family "Bacterial small subunit ribosomal RNA", at positions 28 to 523 of the family's 1533-position model. The record is from RNAcentral.